Long non-coding RNA from Bos grunniens (domestic yak), 1782 nucleotides. The record is from Ensembl. NCBI's taxonomy places the organism in Eukaryota, Metazoa, Chordata, Mammalia, Artiodactyla, Bovidae.
AUGGCGGAAGCAGUGAAGUCAGAGAAAUCUGUGCAAAAGAUCCUGAUUCCUCUGGGGUACGAACUUGCAUGGUGCAGGGGACGAAUGUUUCUAAAUGACACAGGAAGCCAUUUGAUGCUGUCCUCAAGCCCCAGGGAUUUUACAGAGCUCCACCUCAGAUCGUCAGGCAUUGGAUCCCAGAGGCUGGGAACUACUGAGUGGCUGCUCAGACUACGUUUGUGAGCCAACAAGUGCAUGAAGUGGAUGGAUUCCAAGCAGCGUUCGGCAGCUUCUUUGGUGACCGGCUACACCGUUUGGCAGCGAGUUCAAGGGCUCAUAACUGCACAGAGCAAGGAGCCUGCUGAACAGUGAGGUUCCAGUUUAGAAAGAGUGCUGCAAACAAAGGUAGGCUUUUAUUUUGAGUAAGAUCCUUUCAUCUGCGCAAAAUCGCAUGCCUGAUCACGUGCCACUCACCACUGCCACGCUCACAGUGCUGGGCAUACAUCCUCACGCUCUCAUUCUUAAAUCCUGGAGGGUGGGGGACUUGAUGGCAGCAUUUUGUCCCAAGUUUCCAAUUUAUUGAACUCUCUCUGUGUCCCUAUUUCUCGCUUUGCUUCUCUUUACCACUUUCAGCUCCUGUCUUCUCCUUCUUUUUGGGUCCCUGUUUUAUUAAGAUGAUUAUUUUUGGUAGGUGGCUUGGAAUGUAAUAUUUGGUGUUUUGUUUUCAUGGGAGAAAACUGAUGGUAUUAUAGGUUUCCCAUGGACUACAGGGCAUGCCUAUCUCUGCCUCUCUCUGCCUGCCCGCCGGUCCUUAGGGAAAGUAGCUGCCUACAAAGCGUGGUCAAAGGUCUUCACUGCACUUGUGACGGUGCAUAGUUGUCUAUGUCUGAGUAAUUGCUGGAUUGCUCUCUGUCUUCCUCACUGAACACAGGCCACUGGAGGACGAUGCCCACCUGUUUGGAGCUUGGUUGUGUCUCUAGUACCUUUCAUGGUGACAGCAGACACACAAUAGCAUUUAUUGUGGGGCAGGAAAGAAUACAGUGUACCAGUUGAGUUAUGGGAAGUGUACCAGUUGAGUUAUGGGAAGUUCUUAGCUGGUCUUAACUACACUUUGGAAAUGGCACUCCACUUUGGAAAGAAUUGUGCAGAGAGUUCUUAGUCAUGAGCCUGUGGUUUGGUUUGUUGGUUUAGUUUAUUUUGAGACAUUCAAGAGAUGGUAUGGUUGGGUGGAGAUAGACAAACAAUGUAUCACAAUAAGGAUAAGUAUUAAUUAUGAUGAAUUCUAUGAACUUUCUAUUUCAGCAACUAAUUAUUGGAAUGUCCAGAUUGCUGUAGCAAUGUAUUAAGUUUCUGAAAACUUGGGAAAUACGGUCUAUGCUAGUUUUUCUAGGGUUACCACAACAAAGUACUACAGACUGAGUGACCUAAACAACAGAAAUUUAUUAUUUGGAGUCUAGAAAUUCAAGAUCAAGGUGUCCACAUGGUUGAUUCCUUCAAAGGGCCAGGAGGAGAAAUCUCUUCUACGCCUCUCUCCUAGCUUCUGUGGUUCCUGACAAUCUUUGGCAUUCCUUGGCUUGUAGAGGCAUCACCCUGAUCUCCAACUUCAUGUUCAUAUGGUCUCCCCUGUUUACCUGCAUCUUCUGAUUAGGACACCAGUCAGAUUGGACAGGAGCCCACCAUAUUCUGGGAUGACCUCAUGUGAACUAGUGAUGUCUGUCACACCCCUACUUCUAAAUAAGACCACUUUCUGAGAUGCUGCAGGUUAGCACUUUAACAUGUGAAUUUUUCAUGGACACAAUGGAC